GUGCUUUUUGUGCAGCUUCUUCUCCACAUGCUGUGGGGCCUGGUCUGUGUUUCUGUCCCUGGUGUGUGUGUGUCAGGCUUGGUUUUUGGAGAGGAGAACCAAAGGGUUGUUUUGCUUUGGAGGUCACUCUUUGGGGCCUCUUUUUUGGGGUUUCCCAUCAGCUCCCAUUUCUUAUGAGGCCCUUGUCCCAGAUUCCAGAGGCUUGGCCCUCCCCAGAUGUCUUCCUCCAGCUCUCCUGUUGUCGUCUGACCCUAAAUGCCACCCUCCAGUUUUGGGGGAGGGCAGUUGUGUAAACUAGGGGAAUCCCUUUUAAGAAGAGAAUGCUGUCCUAGACUUCGCCAGGCAUCUCCUCCCUCCUCCUCUCUGAUCCUUCCUGGGGCGAGCCUGCCCUUGCAGGCGACCCCCGACGCCCCAGCUCCUGUGCUUCCCAGUUCUGAGCAUCUCAUCUGUCUUCGCUGCAGUGUCAGCCCAAGCUGGCUCCUGAACCACUGUGUGCCCAUUUCCUAGGGAAGGGGAGGGAGAAGAAACAGAAUAUUUAUUACAAAGGUAGAAAUAUAUUUAUUAUAUUAGGGAUCUCAUUUGCAUUUGCAUGGGAUAUGCAAAUGAGAUGUAAAGGUUAAGCCAGCUCUCAUCUCAUUUGCAUAGCUCUGCAUCCACUAUGCAGUCAUCUUUAUACUUGUCUUUUCCCUCUAGUCAGUGUUCUUUUAGUCUUAGUUCAGCUCUCCCUUGCAUCACCCUCGCCUUCAGUCUAAGGGGACCGGGAGUGGGAGGAAAAUGGGGUGUUUUCCUGCUGGUCUGAUGCCACAAUGUCUUU
This is a non-coding RNA of Ceratotherium simum simum (southern white rhinoceros), 814 nucleotides long. NCBI's taxonomy places the organism in Eukaryota, Metazoa, Chordata, Mammalia, Perissodactyla, Rhinocerotidae. The record is from RefSeq and is a predicted model, not a curated record.